Molecule: transfer RNA, 74 nt
Filed under: bacterium
Lineage: Bacteria
Also listed under: 1 other name
Description: tRNA-Met
Rfam family: tRNA
About the family: Transfer RNA (tRNA) molecules are approximately 80 nucleotides in length. Their secondary structure includes four short double-helical elements and three loops (D, anti-codon, and T loops). Further hydrogen bonds mediate the characteristic L-shaped molecular structure. tRNAs have two regions of fundamental functional importance: the anti-codon, which is responsible for specific mRNA codon recognition, and the 3' end, to which the tRNAs corresponding amino acid is attached (by aminoacyl-tRNA synthetases). tRNAs cope with the degeneracy of the genetic code in two manners: having more than one tRNA (with a specific anti-codon) for a particular amino acid; and 'wobble' base-pairing, i.e. permitting non-standard base-pairing at the 3rd anti-codon position.
Source: RNAcentral
UGCGGGCAUGACAAGUGGCAAGUCGCCAGUCUCAUAAGCUGGAGCAUUCGGUUCGAUUCCGAAGCCCGCGACCA